AGCUGGUCUGAUGGUAGUGGGUUAUCAGAACUUAUUAACAUUAGUAUCACUAAAGUUGGUAUUCAACCCCCCACUGCUAAAUUUGACUGGCUUAAA
RNAcentral lists this Y RNA (96 nucleotides) under Microcebus murinus (gray mouse lemur). RNAcentral's name for it is "Y RNA (ENSMICG00000045769.1)". It matches the Rfam family "Y RNA". Rfam says of the family: Y RNAs are components of the Ro ribonucleoprotein particle (Ro RNP), in association with Ro60 and La proteins. The Y RNAs and Ro60 and La proteins are well conserved, but the function of the Ro RNP is not known. The record is from Rfam by way of RNAcentral. Lineage: Eukaryota; Metazoa; Chordata; Mammalia; Primates; Cheirogaleidae.